RNAcentral lists this ribosomal RNA (681 nucleotides) under uncultured nitrite-oxidizing bacterium. RNAcentral's name for it is "bacterial SSU rRNA". It matches the Rfam family "Bacterial small subunit ribosomal RNA", at positions 21 to 696 of the family's 1533-position model. The record is from RNAcentral.
GGCUCAGGACGAACGCUGGCGGCGCGCCUAAUACAUGCAAGUCGAGCGAGAAGGUGUAGCAAUACACUUGUAAAGCGGCGAACGGGUGAGGAAUACAUGGGUAACCUACCCUCGAGUGGGGAAUAACUAGCCGAAAGGUUAGCUAAUACCGCGUACGCCUCCCGGACUUCGGUUCGGGAGGGAAAGCGAUACCGUGGGUAUCGCGCUCCUGGAUGGGCUCAUGCCCUAUCAGCUUGUUGGUGAGGUAACGGCUCACCAAGGCUUCGACGGGUAGCUGAUCUGAGAGGAUGAUCAGCCACACUGGCACUGCGACACGGGCCAGACUCCUACGGGAGGCAGCAGUAAGGAAUAUUGCGCAAUGGGCGAAAGCCUGACGCAGCGACGCCGCGUGGGGGAUGAAGGUCUUCGGAUUGUAAACCCCUUUCGGGAGGGAAGAUGGGAUGGGUAACCAUUCGGACGGUACCUCCAGAAGCAGCCACGGCUAACUUCGUGCCAGCAGCCGCGGUAAUACGAAGGUGGCAAGCGUUGUUCGGAUUCACUGGGCGUACAGGGAGCGUAGGCGGUUGGGUAAGCCCUCCGUGAAAUCUCCAGGCUUAACCUGGAAAGUGCAGAGGGGACUGCUCAGCUAGAGGAUGGGAGAGGAUCGCGGAAUUCCCGGAGUAGCGGUGAAAUGCGUAUAGA